Non-coding RNA from Trichobilharzia regenti, 46 nucleotides. The record is from Rfam. Lineage: Eukaryota; Metazoa; Platyhelminthes; Trematoda; Strigeidida; Schistosomatidae.
GUACUGCUGAAGAGUCCCAAACUAGGACGAAAUAGCUGUCCAGUAU